AUUGCACGCUGGCGGCAGGCCUAACACAUGCAAGUCGAACGAGUGGCGGACGGGUGAGUAAUGUCUGGGAAAAUGCCUGAUGGAGGGGGAUAACUACUGGAAACGGUAGCUAAUACCGCAUACCAUCAGAUGUGCCCAGAUGGGCGUAGCGAGUGGGUAGGGUAACGGCUAACCAAGGCGACGAUCCCGAGCUGGUCUGCGAGGAUGAACAGCCACACGGGAACUGAGACACGUUCCAGACUCCGACGGUAGGCAGCAGUGGGGAAUAUUGCACAAUUGGCGCAAGCCUGAUGCAGCCAGGCCGCUUGUAUGAAGAAGGCCUUCUGUUUGUAAAGUACUUUCAGCGGGGAGGCGUUACCCGCAGAAGAAGCACCGGCUAACUCCGUGCCAGCAGCCGCGGUAAUUC
RNAcentral lists this ribosomal RNA (406 nucleotides) under uncultured bacterium. RNAcentral's name for it is "partial 16S ribosomal RNA". It matches the Rfam family "Bacterial small subunit ribosomal RNA", at positions 30 to 526 of the family's 1533-position model. The record is from RNAcentral.